This 356-nucleotide ribosomal RNA is filed under the name Phyllodoce groenlandica. Its description in RNAcentral is "partial large subunit ribosomal RNA". It matches the Rfam family "Bacterial large subunit ribosomal RNA", at positions 1956 to 2543 of the family's 2925-position model. Lineage: Eukaryota; Metazoa; Annelida; Polychaeta; Phyllodocida; Phyllodocidae. The record is from RNAcentral.
AUCAUAAUAGUUUGCCUUUUAAUUGGAGGCUGGAAUGAAUGGAUAUACGAAGUUAAGGCUGUCUCUUUUUUAUAUAUGGAAAUUGGUUUUUAGGUGAAGAAACCUAUAUUGUAAUGAAGGACAAAAAGACCCUAUUGAGCUUUAUUUUUAUAAGAUUUGUUAUAUUUAAACUUUAGUAAAUUUGGUUGGGGCAACAAAAGAAUAUUUAAAUCUUCUUUUAUAUUUGGGAAUUAUUGUUCUUUUAAAAGAUCUAUUUUUAUAAUAUGAAGAAAAAGUUACCAUAGGGAUAACAGGCUAAUUCUUUUGGAGAGUUCAUAUUGAUAAGAGAGUUUGGCACCUCGAUGUUGGCUUAGAAU